GCGUAACACGUGGGCAAUCUGCCCUCCGAUGGGGAAUAACUCCGGGAAACCGAAGCUAAUUCCGCAUAACAUUCCCUGGACUCCGGUUCGGGGAUUCAAAGCAGCAAUGCGUCGGAGGAGGAGCCCGCGCCCGAUUAGCUUGUUGGCGAGGUAACGGCUCACCAAGGCAAUGAUCGGGUCUGGUUGUCAGGGGGAUGGCAAGCCACGCUGGAACUGAGACACGGUCCAGACUCCUACGGGAGGCGGCAGUGGGGAAUCUUGCGCAAUGGGCGAAAGCCUGACGCAGCGACGCCGCGUGGGGGAUGAAGCUUUUCGGAGUGUAAACCCCUUUCGACCGGGACGAAUGCCCGCAAGGGAGUGACGGUACCGGUAGAAGAAGCCCCGGCUAACUACGUGCCAGCAGCCGCGGUAAGACGUAGGGGGCCAGCGUUGUUCGGAAUUACUGGGUGUAAAGGGCCGAAGCGGUGCGGCAAGUCGGGAGUGAAUUUCUGGGCUUAACUCAAACCUGCUUCCGAACUGCUGUGCUCGAGUGUGGGAGAGGCGCGUGAAUUGCAGUGUAGCGUGAAUGC
RNAcentral lists this ribosomal RNA (569 nucleotides) under uncultured bacterium. RNAcentral describes it as "bacterial SSU rRNA". It matches the Rfam family "Bacterial small subunit ribosomal RNA", at positions 108 to 689 of the family's 1533-position model. The record is from RNAcentral.